Molecule: non-coding RNA, 4495 nt
Organism: Sus scrofa (pig)
Lineage: Eukaryota; Metazoa; Chordata; Mammalia; Artiodactyla; Suidae
Source: RefSeq, a predicted model, not a curated record
AAAGAAAACAAGGAAGUCGGUUCAGAGGGGUGGGCAGGAGGCCUCAGGGACAGCAUGGGACAUGUGGCUGUGCUCCCCACUGCCGGGCCUGCCCUUUCCUCCCCUUGGACCCUCUUACACCUCCCUCUGUGUGUUUCUCAUCUAUCUGCUCACCCAAAAUGUAUUAAGUCACUAUUUGCAGAGGACCCGGCAGAGUAGACAGAAAUAGGGAUCAUGAGGAUGACGUUCUCAGGGGGUUAAUGAAGCAGCCCUGCUGAUGGUGUGGGUCCCGCACACACCCCUCUGCACCCCGACCCUCACGGUGCUUGGCCCACCGACAGGGAGAACAAGGUGCCAAGACUCACAGCUGCUGAUCACCUAUGCUGAGACUGGACCCCAGGCUCAAGGCCCAGGAUCCUGCAGCCUCAACCCCUGGGCUCCUUCCUGGAAGGGAAAUUUCUCCAAAGACAUACAAGCGGCCGUCAGGACAUGAAAAGAUGCUCACCACCAAAUCAAAACUACAGAAUACCACCUCACACCCACUAGGAUGGCAAUUAGUUUUUAAAAGAGAAAUGAGUGCUGACAAGGAUGUGGAGGAACCAGAAUCCUUGUGCUGUUGCUAGCGGGAAUGUAAAAUGGUGGUCCCUUUGGAAAACUGUGUGAGAGUUCCUCAAAAGUUAACUGUCGAGUAACUGUAUGAUCCAUAUACCCCUCCUAGAUGUACACCCAACAGAAAUGAAAAUACACAUUCACAUAAAAAACACACACACCUACGUCCACAGCAUCACUCUCAGUGAUCAAAAGGUGGAAACCACGCAAGUGUCCAUCAACAGGUGAAUGCACGAACAUACUGUGGUCCACCUGUGUAAUGGAAUGAUAGCCACAAGAAGGAACGAAGCACUGACAUGCGACAGCAUGGAUGACAAUCAAAAACAUGAUGCUCCGUGAGAGGAGCUGGACCCAGAGGCUUGAAACUGUAAAUAAAAGGAGAAGGGCAUUCAGCAUUUGUCCUACUUUUCUGCCAGGUAAACAUACCGGGGGCGGCGGCGGGGGGGGGGGGGGGAACAGCACAAAUGUAUUCUGGCUGAUCUGUGAAGAAGGAAUGAGAUUUUCACCAGUUUAUGAUUGCUGAUGGACCAGUAAUCUAGGCACUGUCCACUCUGCCAACACCACAAGCACAGACCACCUUCGCGGAAGAUCUCACCUCCAGAUUCAAGUUCACCUUGGCAGGAAAGACACAGAUUGGAGCACUGUGCUAAAUACAGACACCUCGGGGACGAGGGCAGUGACAAGCCAGAUGGCACCAAACUCUCCAGGACAAAUACACAGAGGAGCUUCAACAAAUAAAUUGCCAAGAGAAAAAAAGAAAGAGAUGGUAGAAAGAGAAUCCAUAGACUCAAAAUGCCCUGAAUCACAACGUGUGGGUCUAACCUAGAUCCUGAUUCAGACAGAGAAGAACUCUGAACACCUGACUCGAGAUUAAGGACUCAUUUGCAGGCCUGACAACAGUAUUGCUGGACUGCUGAAAAGCAGUCCGUAUCUUUUAGAGACAUCAUCUGAAACACUGACACGUGAAAUGAAAGUGUCUGGGAUUCGCUGCAGGAUGACCCAGGCAGGGGGCGGCAGUCCCAAGACCACUAGCACCAGGUGACGGCUCCCAGGGGCUCGGUGCAUCACCCCAUCUGCUCUUGCAGGGGCUUCAAAUUCUCCCUGGUUGCUGAGUGGACACAGGGCUGCAAGGCUAUGGGCUGGGAGGAGGAACUCAGCUAAGGGCAGGUGUCAGCAAGGGGAGGUGGACAGGUAGCAGGUUGUCCAGUGACACCCCCGUCCCCACCCUGUAAGGCAUAGGGCUAGGCUGGGCCUGGGGCCUGCUCUCCUAGGACAAGGCCUGCUCUCCCAGGCCUUGGCUGCCUCACCUGUAGCAUGGGGAGGAUGAGACACAGCCACAGUGCUCAGCUCUGCACCAUCAAGAGAUGGAAACUGCUUGCUGUUUUCAGCAGGAAGAGAUGGAGGCUUGAGGAGCCCCGAGGAGACACAGCAGACAGAUGGGACACGCACAGGACUCCCCAGGCAAGGAUGGGGCUCACAGGGACACUCUGACUCUACCCACUGCCAAACUCAGGUGCCGGAGGCUCAGAACCAGGCCUUCCUCAAGUCUCCACCCUCUCUGGUGACCCCUGCCCACACAGCCGUAUCCUGGUGGUGCAGGUGCCAGGCAGGUCCAGCUGCUCCACUCACCCAGGCUCUUCAACCGACCCCCCUAAUCCCCCAGACCACUCUCCUCCAGACCGCUUGCCACCCCCCAGUCACCCAGCUGCUUCUACCGCAGCCCCCUUCAAUCCACAGAGUUUAAACUGGCUCAGGGCUCACUCCCAACCCACUCCUUUAAAACCUGCCAAUGGCCUCCCUCCAAGGGCCUUCUCUGACCAUUAUCCCCAAUCACAGCGUUCGUCACGGUGCGCAGGAUGGAUGUCUCUUGUCUGUCCACCCACCCCGCUGGACAAAGGGACCCCUUUUGUUCCUAUGGGGCAGCACUGAGCAGGCACCUGUGUCUGCUGGAUGCACCUAUGUACUUGUCUGUCCUACAGAAACCUGACGGGUGCCUGGCUGUGUGUUCACUGCAAGGCCAGGGCCAAGGAGGGGUCUCUCCCUUCCUCAGUAGUACUGAUGUGACACUGACGAUGCUCUAUAACAUGACUUUGCAGAGCAUUGCUGCUGCCAGGCCAGGCACUCUUCCAAGCACAUAACAUGAAUGCUCCAAAGCACAGGUGCUCUUACUGUCCCCAUUUCACAGAUGAAGAAACUGAAACAGAGGCGGAUAACAUGCCUGGUGCCACGAGGCUGGUCAACAGGGAGCCAGCAUCACCCCAGGCAGGCGGUGUUCUCUGGAACCCCCGGUUCCUAGAGCGGGUUCUCACACCCACACAAACCAAACAGGGCAACACACUGGCCCGAGACAGACUCACAGAGGUGAGCGGUAUGGAGCAGAGCCAGGGGCGGAGUCUGGGCUGGUCAGAGGCCUCUCCACCCCACCCCCAGCACCCAGCAUGUGCCCUGCAGCUGACACGUGCCUCCCAGCACACUGAUGAUCGGACCUCCCCCAGGAUAAGUGCCCGGGCCUGAGAAGCUGAGGAACUCCAAGAGGCUGGUGGACUACUUCCUGCCCAAUCCCGGGAAACUCCUGAGAAAGCUGAGGCGCAGGCAGCACCACCAGCAGCACACCUGGUGAGGAGUGGCCAAAUUCAAGGUGUGUGGGGACGACAAUUCCAGAAGUAACAUCCUUAGCCUUUCUAGCCGGACCCCUCUCUGUGUUAAGGCCUCAAGUGUUCUCAGGCCAGGCCAUGGGCAGUCACCCACUCCCCAGGCCAGUGGCCAUAGGCCAGCUUCUUUCUCCAGCCUCAGCAAACUAAGAUGCAGAGGAACUGGCCAAACUGGUGCCAGCACCCAAAGCCAGCAGCACACACAUUUAUCCACAGCACAGGGAAUGUGGGCCAUGGGGCCUAUCCAGGCAAACAGCCCAAAGCCCUGGGCCUAGCUGACCUAAGUUCUAGAUGCUCCCUCCACCACCUUGGACCCGGCAAGGGCCAAGGCAAGGGCCAUCUUCAGGGCCUGGCUCUUCUGCAGCAGGGAUGGCUCGGAGGAUGCAGGGUCAAAGAGAAGACUCCCAGUCUUGCCAAUAGGGCUGUUUCCUCACUGUUUUCUCUGCCCAUGUUUGACAGUCCCUGAGAGAGGCCCCGGAGUUUGCAUAUGCUGAGCUUUAAGGAAAACCAGAUUAAAAAAAAAAAAAAAAAAGGAUGCCUAUGACCUGAUUCAAAAUAUCCUGGGAGCAGAGAAGAAAACAGCACACUCCACAGUGGAAAAGAUCAUGCAGCCAUAAAAAGGAAUCAAGCAUGACACAUGCUGUGACUUGGAUGAACCUUGAAAACAUUACGCUGAAAGAAGCCAGACAUAGAAGGGAAAGGAGCGGUUUAUCUGUAAAAGAACAUCCUACUCGCAAGUCAAAUGAAAUGUAGCCUUGGAUAAGUUCUUGCACCAAACAUCAUGAAGAAGAGAAUUUCUUCAUUUUACAGUGAGGCCACACCUGCGGUCAGUGUGGCUGAAAUGCCUCACGCUCACACAACAAAUGCCUCAUGUCUGAGACAGCAUCCCUUCUGCUCUGGGUGCAGAUCUACCCACUGUCCAGAGGCCAAGCAGCAUCUUCCUCCAUCUCUGGAUCCUCAACUCCUUGGGCCCGAAGGCCUCAGAGGCUGCGUGCUGCAUGCGCCCCACUCACCCAGGCCAACUGGGCCAAGGCUACACCGCCUCAGCAGUGACACCACAUGGAUGAAGCACCUACUAUGUGCCAGGUACCAGGCCACGUGCUUUACCUUCCAUCUCUCCCCAUCUUCCCAACAGCGUGAGAGGCAGAUUCGACCAGGAACCCAUCCUUUGGGCCCCAGAGAAGUGGCAAGUCCACAGCUGCUUCCCUUUCUCACCACAGCAAACAUCAGCUCAGCUCACCGGCAGCGGAGCAGUA